CAGCGCCGCGGUAAUACGGAGGGUGCAAGCGUUAAUCGGAAUUACUGGGCGUAAAGCGCACGCAGGCGGUCUGUCAAGUCAGAUGUGAAAUCCCCGGGCUUAACCUGGGAACUGCAUUUGAAACUGGCAGGCUAGAGUCUUGUAGAGGGGGGUAGAAUUCCAGGUGUAGCGGUGAAAUGCGUAGAGAUCUGGAGGAAUACCGGUGGCGAAGGCGGCCCCCUGGACAAAGACUGACGCUCAGGUGCGAAAGCGUGGGGAGCAAACAGGAUUAGAUACCCGUGUAGUCCCUGUCUCUUAUACA
Molecule: ribosomal RNA, 301 nt
Filed under: uncultured bacterium
Lineage: Bacteria
Description: partial 16S ribosomal RNA
Rfam family: Bacterial small subunit ribosomal RNA
Source: RNAcentral